UUUUUACAAGCCAUUUUGUAACUCUCUAGUUACAAAGAUAUUAACUUAUGACUAAGCCAAGUCAAAACAUAAAUUGAAGUGUUUACUGAUUUUGGGUUUCCUAGAAACAGCUUCUAAGAAAGUAAGAUAGGAGUUACUAUGAGGAAAAAAUAACAAAGACUCAACAAACCUAAAGACAUAAGAUAUCUUCGAUCUUGGAUCAGGUCCUUGAGGUUGCAUCAGCUUUGUUCUUCAGAGAGGUUGUUGCUAGCACUUGGCAAAAUAUUUCUUUUUCUGAUUUUGCAAGUGUUGAACCCGAGUCUUGUGACUUGCAUAAGGUUUAUUCAACAAAAGACAUUAUCUUAGUGAUGUAAACUCUUGGUUAAUACAUGCCUCUUAUCAAUGAGAAGUGACUGUUGCACUGCCUGCUGCACUAUUGUAGGCAAUUGAUUUCUGCAGUUGCUUUCCAGCUGUACAAUUGACCUAUAAGUCUAUUAGGGGAACACCAAGGUCUCAGGUCCCUAAUAUGGUUUUUGUGAAUCUACAGCACACUGCCCAUAUGUUGAUUAACUGGAAUGAUCGUACCAGGCAUGCUUUAGGUCCUUUAUCUGGUUCUCUCAUGAAGUAAUUUGUUUUACCUUCCUUGAUGGUAUUUAUACAUGCAUGACAUCAGUUACAACGAUGUAAUUAAGGUAGGUAAAUAGCCUUCCGUAGAAAGUUGACUGUUGCACUGUUCCUGUGCAAUAGCUUGUGUAGGUUGUAACUUUUCUAAUGAAGAGUUGACUUCAACAGUCUCCUCGGGAACUGGCAAGGAUCUCUUUCAUCAGUUGUUCUUUCCUUUCUGAAGAGUUGAUUUAUAUCCCACGUUGUAUCCAAACAUGGAAAUUUGUGAUAUCAAGUACUUGUAGAUGUGUAACAGGUUCUGUAUCUAGUUCGGGGUGGUAAGUGUGUUAGAUCGUCAAAACAUAAAGUAAAGUACUUAUGCCCAAGGUAUUUGUAACCUAUCAAUUUCCCCGUUUUUGAUGACGACAAACUUAGAGUUGAUAUUCCCCCUAAGAAAUUGAUCUCCACAUUGUUCCCCUAUGAAUUAGCCAUAUUCCCCAUGAGAACCGAAGCUAAGGAGCUGAUCACAGUUGGUUCCUCAAGACUGUUUGGAAAAUCAUCAAAACUCAAAGUGCCAUAACUUAUCAAUUUCCCCCUUUUAUAGGAAUGGCAAACCUAGAAUUAUUCUCCCUGAGAAUCAGGUUCCUUAUCUGAUGUGAUCACAUCUGGUCCGUACACAGUACAUUGAGAAUGUUUGUCUUCAUCACCACAUGACAUAGUGUAACUUUGAGCAAUUUCCCCCUUUUUGAUGAUGAUAAACGAAAAAUUAAUAUUCCUCUUGAGAACGAUAUUUCUCACAUGUUUUCCUGAGGAUCAGACCUAGAAUUAACAUAUUAUCAGCACGCUCCCCAUGCAAAGUAGAGCUAUCUCUUAAGAACCAGAGAACCAGAUUCCUCAUAUAUUUCCAUGCGAAGAAGAUCCGUCUUUCAAGCACAAAAUUCUAUUUUAUUCCUACUAUGUCCACACAUAUAUAACUUCCCCCUUUUGGCAUCAUCGAAAAGAAUAACAGAAGAAGCAUUACCAAAAUGAAGUUCAGCAACAUUAACUCAGGCCACCUGGUCAACAUAGCUAAACAAUAACAAGAACAACAAGUGAAUGUCAGUGCACAACAUAGAGUGGUUUCCCAUAGUGAUGUAAUGAGAACAAAAGCAUAGUAGCUUCAAUUAUAGAUAAUAUCACAAUUUAAAUAACUGAAGUACCAAUGUCAUCAAAUAUAGGCGUCAAAAGAAGAUAAGAAUUCAAGCGAAUAUCGAAGGAGUGAAAGAUAUGGAUCACUUGGUAGGAGGAAAAGAAAAGGGGGUUAAGGCCUUGAUGAGCUUGUCAAUUCAUUUAUUUAUUCUCCCUUGAUCAAUGUGUUAGAAAAUACGCUUAACGCUAGGGGGGGGGGGGG
This 1972-nucleotide long non-coding RNA is filed under the name Nicotiana benthamiana. RNAcentral describes it as "long non-coding RNA (NBEN_LNC039255)". Lineage: Eukaryota; Viridiplantae; Streptophyta; Magnoliopsida; Solanales; Solanaceae. The record is from RNAcentral.